Molecule: ribosomal RNA, 458 nt
Filed under: uncultured bacterium
Lineage: Bacteria
Description: partial 16S ribosomal RNA
Rfam family: Bacterial small subunit ribosomal RNA
Source: RNAcentral
CCUACGGGGGGCAGCAGUGGGGAAUAUUGCACAAUGGGGGAAACCCUGAUGCAGCGACGCCGCGUGAGUGAAGAAGUAUUUCGGUAUGUAAAGCUCUAUCAGCAGGGAAGAAAUAGCGACCUUUGGGUCGCCAGACGGUACCUGAUUAAGAAGCCCCGGCUACCUACGUGCCAGCAGCCGCGGUAAUACGUAGGGGGCAAGCGUUAUCCGGAUUUACUGGGUGGAAAGGGAGCGUAGACGGCAGCGCAAGUCUGAAGUGAAAUGCCGGGGCUUAACCCCGGAACUGCUUUGGAAACUGGGAAGCUAGAGUGCAGGAGAGGUAAGUGGAAUUCGUGGUGUAGCGGUGAAAUGCGUAGAUAUUAGGAGGAACACCAGUGGCGAAGGCGGCUUACUGGACUGUAACUGACGUUGAGGCUCGAAAGCGUGGGGAGCAAACAGGAUUAGAUACCCGAGUAGUC